RNAcentral lists this ribosomal RNA (460 nucleotides) under uncultured bacterium. Its description in RNAcentral is "partial 16S ribosomal RNA". It matches the Rfam family "Bacterial small subunit ribosomal RNA", at positions 338 to 795 of the family's 1533-position model. The record is from RNAcentral.
CCUACGGGAGGCAGCAGUGAGGAAUAUUGGUCAAUGGACGAGAGUCUGAACCAGCCAAGUAGCGUGAAGGAUGACUGCCCUAUGGGUUGUAAACUUCUUUUAUAUGGGAAUAAAAUGUUCCACGUGUGGGAUUUUGUAUGUACCAUAUGAAUAAGGAUCGGCUAACUCCGUGCCAGCAGCCGCGGUAAUACGGAGGAUCCGAGCGUUAUCCGGAUUUAUUGGGUUUAAAGGGAACGUAGGUGGAUUGUUAAGUCAGUUGUGAAAGUUUGCGGCUCAACCGUAGAAUUGCAGUUGAAACUGGCAGUCUUGAGUGCAGUAGAGGGGGGCGGAAUUCGGGGUGUAGCGGUGAAAUGCUUAGAUAUCACGAAGAACUCCGAUUGCGAAGGCAGUUCACUGGACUGCAACUGACGCUGAGGCUCGAAAGUGUGGGUAUCAAACAGGAUUAGAUACCCCAGUAGUC